Molecule: ribosomal RNA, 465 nt
Filed under: uncultured bacterium
Lineage: Bacteria
Description: partial 16S ribosomal RNA
Rfam family: Bacterial small subunit ribosomal RNA
Source: RNAcentral
CCUACGGGAGGCUGCAGUGGGGAAUAUUGCGCAAUGGGCGAAAGCCUGACGCAGCGACGCCGCGUGAGGGAUGAAGGUCUUCGGAUCGUAAACCUCUGUCAGCAGGGAAGAACGGUCACUGUGCUAAUCAGCAGUGAAUUGACGGUACCUGCAAAGGAAGCACCGGCUAACUCCGUGCCAGCAGCCGCGGUAAUACGGAGGGUGCGAGCGUUAAUCGGAUUUACUGGGCGUAAAGGGCGCGUAGGCGGUAUGUCAAGUCAAGGGUGAAAUGCCCGGGCUCGACGUGGGAAUUGCCUUUGAAACUGGCAAACUGGAGUGUGUGAGAGGAGAGUGGAAUUCCAGGUGUAGGAGUGAAAUCCGUAGAUAUCUGGAGGAACAUCGGUGGCGAAGGCGAUUAUCUGGCACAUAACUGACGCUGAGGAGCGAAAGCGUGGGUAGCAAACAGGAUUAGAUACCCGAGUAGUC